GCGCGGCGAACCCCGGUUCAGCACCCCAGACCUGUCCUCGGACCACAUCCCGCCGUAGCCCCCGCCAAUCCCGUCCAGGCUCAGCCGGGAUCGACCGACGCCGACGUCUCCCAUCGAGGUCCUGCGGCUUCCCGGGUCAAACGAGGUCCUGCGGCUGGCGAGCGGGCUGCCGCCUUCGCCGUCGAAGCUCCAGAGACCGCCGGUUGAACUGAGGCUACCGCCGUUGGCCAAGCCGUUGCUGCUGCCGUUGCCAUUGAUGGGAUAGCCACC
RNAcentral lists this long non-coding RNA (270 nucleotides) under Micromonas commoda. RNAcentral's name for it is "long non-coding RNA (MCOM_LNC000222)". The record is from RNAcentral. Lineage: Eukaryota; Viridiplantae; Chlorophyta; Mamiellophyceae; Mamiellales; Mamiellaceae.